Dunckerocampus dactyliophorus (ringed pipefish) is the source of this 2982-nucleotide long non-coding RNA. RefSeq lists it as uncharacterized. NCBI's taxonomy places the organism in Eukaryota, Metazoa, Chordata, Actinopteri, Syngnathiformes, Syngnathidae. The record is from RefSeq and is a predicted model, not a curated record. The transcript has 3 exons.
UCCUGCUUGCAGUGGCUAUGUAGUUAUGGAAGCUCCGGUGACCGGAAGAAAUGUCAGGGACAGGAAGUAGACGCAAAUACACGUUUAUCAAAAGUGAACAGAGGAAAUUAAAAUAUGGCGGACGUGGACGAAUCGAGAAGAGGUGGUCAACGAGAAUUAUUAGCAAUUACUCGGUAUGUGGAGGAAAAUUUUCCAACGGAUUAUAUUUUAAGGUUGGUGGAAGAUGUCAUGGAAAGUCUUGGAGAAAUAUCUGCUGACGAAUGCAGAUAUGGAUGAAGCUGUGUGGCGCAAUCUUGAGGAGGUAAAUGCCUUAUCCCCAUCGUAAAAUACCAUCCUGUCAUGUUAUCGGUCAGCUCUGUACGCAAGUUUGAAGAGGCUACACCAUGACUCUGAUUCACAUAUUAGGCAUUCACAAUACACUAAUUAGCAUCACGACCGACGUUAGCACGAGCCAUGGAUAGAGACCAGAUCACACAAAUAAACAGAUUAGAGCCGAGUCACACAAUUUUAUCCAGUAAAUGACUACAACGGCAGGUAAGUGUGUGCACUUGAUCUGUCUCCGGCCUGCCAGUCUUUCCAAGGUUAUAAGCGUACAUUAUGAAGCUUCGCAGCAGUGGCCUUGAUCACACAUAACAUGAUAGAUUCAGAAGAGAGAUUUCUUAGGUACGCAUGCAAUUACGUGUUGAAGUAAGGCAGUCAGGACCUGGACGACCGAGACUAGCGAUACCGGCGGACGUGAUGGAGUCAUACAUUCUUCAUAGGUGAACUGUUUGGAGUGUCAACUAGAACCGUCAGAAGGAGAAUGGCAUCCCAUGGAUUGAAGUUGUCACAUUUGUACACUCCACUGACUGACGAUGAACUUGAUGGCAUUGUAGCAGACAUUCCCAGCAUAAUCCCAGAGCAGGGAUUAGGAUGAUCCAUGGUCUUCUUAAAUCACAGGGUCUACAUUUGCAAAAUAAGGAAAGGCUUCUUGAGACGUCAUCUGUACUUCUGUGAAAAAGGUGUCGGACGGUUCGCUCCUCAUCCGAAGAGCUUCGUCAGCGAACUAAUAAGUGCUGGUAGCCUAGGCCUUAAAUACAGUAAGUGUGGGCGGAAUUGGUGUGCCAACACCCUCCUCCUAUUGGUUCCUUACACUAAGCCUGGGCGGAGUAGUGGUCUAAUCCUCUCCUGCUAUUAACACCUCCGAUAAAAGGGAAGUGUCGCUCCCUGAAUAGGGUAUGAACGACUCUGAUACUGGCUAGUUAGCAUCUAUUGUUCUGGCUCGGCCCUGGCUCCACCUCAUUUGCAAGACUAAGAGCUGUGGGUUUUGGUCUCAGUAACCUGCUGAACACAGGGUCCAAAUUAAACCUCAAACCACCAUUCCGAUUCAAUGAUGGGUUCUGUUGUUUGACAAAAAUAGCUUCCUUUACUCCUCUUUCAAACCAUCUGUUUUCUUUGGCCAAAAUCUUUACCUUGCUGUCCUCAAAAGAGUGAUUGGUAGCUUUAAGGUGUAGAUGUACUGCUGAUUGUUGAAAAUAAAGCAAAAUCUCAGCAAACAGAAAGAAAACACAUCAAUGUGCAAUAUUGUGGUGAAAAUAAUGUCUGUACCUGUUCAACUGUCUCCCUGACAUCUGCAUCGCAGCAGUCUUUCACAUCAAUGGAGGCCAUUUCAGGCAUUCCACCACCCAACACAUGAAUAAUAGCUUCACUUGGACCAGUCCAACAAGGGUCAUCGUGAAGACAGGAAUGGCCAAUCAUUGGGCCGGCUACCACAAAAAGGUCGCUAUGGACAAAGACUUGAGAUGCUGCAGGAACAAGGUGAUCCUUUUUACCCUCAAACAGCAGGGUCUUUCCAGCACCUGAAAUAAUUACCCAAGAACAUAAAUGGAUUGAUGGAAAGGCAGUGUGGUUCCACACCAUCCCCGACUGCUGCAUCACCUGUUGUUGGAACACAACAACAUGUAGAAGAUACAAUUCUUCCAGCUAUUAAACCAAUGAAUGCCUUAUAUGACUUGCUGUAGCUUCAAGAGUACAGGUGAGGGGAGACGUCCAGUCCACUCUGUCUUUUGUAGAAGCUGAGAAUGGUCUGCUGCCUGGCCUCAUUAGAAUCCCUGAGGUCCAUUCUGAAGUGAAGCUCCUCACCAGGAUUCUUCAUGACACUUUAUGGCCUCCAGUGGAUCAUCAACCGUCCUCCAAUCUAAAAUAAAUAAACCUUUUUAGUCUUACUGUAAUAUUGUUCAUUUAGAAAUGACAUGGAUACAAACCGUUGCCCGGCUCUGAUUCUGAGAAGCCUUCCCCUGAAUCAGUCAAACCUCCAGUUUUGAUCAAAGGCACUGAUGACCCUGGGCUGGAUGUCAGUGGGACUGUUAUGAGACGACCCCGCCUGCACAACUGCUGCUUCAUUUCCUGCCGUGCUUCAGUGUAGAACAAGAUUAGUUUUCUCAACAUACAACGGCAUGCAAAGGUUUGGGCACCCCUGGUCAAAAUUUCAGUUUUUGUGAAAAUCAAAUGAUUUACAAAAGUUAAACACGAAACAAAGUAUUUUCAAUAUCUGCCUGGAACCUCAAGCCUUUUGGUAAUAAUUUCAUCUUCUACUUGUUUCAUUUCUUCACAACAACUGACAUGUUGACCAGGGGUGCCCAACCUUCUGCAUGCUGCUGUAUCUACUGAAGUUUGGGCUUCAUUAAUGUCAUCAUUUCUUUAAGAAUAACUUGAGGAUUUCUGACCUUGAGCCUCAGUUCGAAUAACAUCAACACUGACCAACUCAAGGAAAGAAGUCUUUACUGAGCUCAUUUUACUACGAAAGGGAAGAAGUCUUUCUGUCCUUUCUGUACCCAAGUUACUCAAGUACAAAUAAUGACUUCUAUAACAUUCUGAAAUGACUAUCAUGCCAGUGAAUGCAGGUUGUAAUGUGUAAAAGCUAUGCAUCUGCCAAUGUAAACACUACAGUAUAUCAAAUAAGACAUGCACAAUAUGAUGCACAAAUAAAGUACAGCAGCUAUG